GGGUGCUCUUGAAAACACACUUUGAGUUUGUUUUCAGCUGGGCCUUAACCAAAGAGUUGACAGCCCAGCGA
RNAcentral lists this long non-coding RNA (71 nucleotides) under Bos indicus x Bos taurus (hybrid cattle). RNAcentral's name for it is "lncRNA (ENSBIXG00000008503.1)". Lineage: Eukaryota; Metazoa; Chordata; Mammalia; Artiodactyla; Bovidae. The record is from RNAcentral.